This 296-nucleotide ribosomal RNA is filed under the name Comamonas sp. Li1-2. RNAcentral describes it as "partial 16S ribosomal RNA". It matches the Rfam family "Bacterial small subunit ribosomal RNA", at positions 119 to 418 of the family's 1533-position model. Lineage: Bacteria; Pseudomonadati; Pseudomonadota; Betaproteobacteria; Burkholderiales; Comamonadaceae. The record is from RNAcentral.
CGGAACGUGCCUAGUAGUGGGGGAUAACUACUCGAAAGAGUAGCUAAUACCGCAUGAGAUCUACGGAUGAAAGCAGGGGACCUUCGGGCCUUGUGCUACUAGAGCGGCUGAUGGCAGAUUAGGUAGUUGGUGGGGUAAAGGCUUACCAAGCCUGCGAUCUGUAGCUGGUCUGAGAGGACGACCAGCCACACUGGGACUGAGACACGGCCCAGACUCCUACGGGAGGCAGCAGUGGGGAAUUUUGGACAAUGGGCGAAAGCCUGAUCCAGCAAUGCCGCGUGCAGGAUGAAGGCCCU